CCCCAGAUGUUGCUGAACUACAACUCCCAAGAUUCUUUGAAUAGCCAGAGAAUCAUGGGAGUUGUAGUUCAGCAACAUCUGGGG
Molecule: non-coding RNA, 84 nt
Organism: Pelobates cultripes (western spadefoot toad)
Lineage: Eukaryota; Metazoa; Chordata; Amphibia; Anura; Pelobatidae
Source: the annotation of a GenBank genome assembly